UACGUAGGUGGCAAGCGUUGUCCGGAUUUACUGGGCGUAAAGGGAGCGUAGGCGGACUUUUAAGUGGGAUGUGAAAUACCCGGGCUUAACCUGGGUGCUGCAUUCCAAACUGGGAGUCUAGAGUGCAGGAGGGGAAAGUGGAAUUCCUAGUGUAGCGGUGAAAUGCGUAGAGAUUAGGAAGAACACCGGUGGCGAAGGCGACUUUCUGGACUGUAACUGACGCUGAGGCUCGAAAGCGUGGGGAGCGAACAGG
Molecule: ribosomal RNA, 253 nt
Filed under: uncultured bacterium
Lineage: Bacteria
Description: partial 16S ribosomal RNA
Rfam family: Bacterial small subunit ribosomal RNA
Source: RNAcentral